CGACUCCUGAGGGGACGGUCCCCGACGGGGAGCUGUUGUGUACCGCAGAGAUGCGCGAACAUCCGUAAAAGUAAAUACGUAACGGCCCCACGUAAACACGUUUGCAAAGGAAUCCUGGCAAGCCCAAGAGAUGGGGACUUUGGAGGCUUUGUCUAAGCCUGAGUCACUGAAGACCUUGGGUUCCUGCUGCCAAGCCCUGGCUGCUGGUGCUGACAACGGGCAGGAUUUGUUUCAUUAAGAAACAACCAGCUCUCAUCAUCAAAUGGUUAUUCAACACAAUUAUUGCUGUGUAUUCAAGAGCCUAAAUGUAGACCUAAAAUCAGCUCUUCUCAGUGUAAGAUGCGUUCUCCAAGCACUGGUUUCUUGCAGCUGCCGGAGCAGAACAGAUCACGAACUGCUGUCAGCACCACGUUUGGAAAGAGCGGCCGAGUUUCUUCUGACAGAGUUGGCACUAAUGAACAAUAAUCAUUUUUUAAAAAUAUAAUGGGAAAGACUUGGGAAGGUUAAUAAGACAGCAGAACCCCUGUGCGCUGCAUCAGCUUUGAGAAGAGAACAAAAACUACGUGUUUGCUAAAAUAACUUUAAAAACAAAUAACAUUGACUUUCCACACCUAGCG
This 617-nucleotide long non-coding RNA is filed under the name Gallus gallus (chicken). RNAcentral describes it as "lncRNA (ENSGALG00010029865.1)". The record is from RNAcentral. Lineage: Eukaryota; Metazoa; Chordata; Aves; Galliformes; Phasianidae.